This 484-nucleotide ribosomal RNA is filed under the name uncultured bacterium. RNAcentral's name for it is "partial 16S ribosomal RNA". It matches the Rfam family "Bacterial small subunit ribosomal RNA", at positions 28 to 507 of the family's 1533-position model. The record is from RNAcentral.
AUUGAGCGCUGGCGGCAUGCUUUACACAUGCAAGUCGAACGGCAGCGCGGGCUUCGGCCUGGCGGCGAGUGGCGAACGGGUGAGUAAUGCAUCGGAACGUGCCCAGUAGUGGGGGAUAGCCCGGCGAAAGCCGGAUUAAUACCGCAUACGACCUGAGGGUGAAAGCGGGGGACCGAAAGGCCUCGCGCUAUUGGAGCGGCCGAUGUCGGAUUAGCUAGUUGGUGGGGUAAAGGCUUACCAAGGCGACGAUCCGUAGCUGGUCUGAGAGGACGACCAGCCACACUGGGACUGAGACACGGCCCAGACUCCUACGGGAGGCAGCAGUGGGGAAUGUUGGACAAUGGGGGCAACCCUGAUCCAGCCAUGCCGCGUGCGGGAAGAAGGCCUUCGGGUUGUAAACCGCUUUUGUUCGGGAAGAAAUCCUCUGGGCUAAUACCCCGGGGGGAUGACGGUACCGGAAGAAUAAGCACCGGCUAACUACGUG